CAGGGAGACAUUAAAUAGAUUGUGAUGUCUAAGUAUUUUAUUCUUAGGCCACAAUCCUGUCACCUUAAGGUCGAUCGGUACCUCAGAUUUUUGAAUUAAUUUUAUAAUUAAUGAUGAGAUUUCAGUUCCUAAACUUGUCUAGGUCACACCCAACAAGGGUUUCUCCUGGGCCAUUAGCUCAGGUGGUUAGAGCGCACCCCUGAUAAGGGUGAGGUCCCUGGUUCAAGUCCAGGAUGGCCCAUUCGUUGUUGGGGGUAUAGCUCAGUUGGUAGAGCGCCUGCUUUGCAAGCAGGAUGUCAGCGGUUCGAGUCCGCUUACCUCCACUGAAACCUGCCCUGUAACUAAAUUCCGGAGAACGUUUGUAAAAGUGACUUAGAUUUUGUCUAUUUGAAAAGAACCUAGCUUCUUAUCAUCUUAUUAAAGUUGAUAAUAUGCUGGGCUCGAAUGGAUUUAUUUCCAUUUGAAUUCAGUAGAACCUUGAAAACUGCAUAGAUUAGAAAGAAUAAAGCAUCUCAUGGAUGCAUAAUUCUGGCUUAAUAAUUUAGUCUUUAACCUAGAUUAUUUAAUGCCGAAUUCAUGUUUAAUUCUUGAGUAAUAGCCGAGCACAAUUAAAUUUGUGAUUGUAUUUAA
RNAcentral lists this transfer RNA (630 nucleotides) under uncultured Prochlorococcus sp. RNAcentral's name for it is "partial 16S-23S ribosomal RNA intergenic spacer". The stretch from base 251 to 323 matches the Rfam family "tRNA". Lineage: Bacteria; Bacillati; Cyanobacteriota; Cyanophyceae; Synechococcales; Prochlorococcaceae. The record is from RNAcentral.